Coffea arabica (coffee) is the source of this 210-nucleotide long non-coding RNA. RefSeq lists it as uncharacterized. Lineage: Eukaryota; Viridiplantae; Streptophyta; Magnoliopsida; Gentianales; Rubiaceae. The record is from RefSeq and is a predicted model, not a curated record.
AAGUGUGAAAUGAAUAAAAAAGUUUCUUCAAUUGCUGAUAUUCUUGAGAACCAUCAUACAAAGAAGAAAAGGAGCAGGACUACUUGCAAACGACUUGCUUGAGGGGACUAAUAGAAUACACUUUGCAGCCCUGGACUUGAUGGUACAUUGGAAGCAUGCGGAUUGGGAGAUAUGAAGAUGUUUUUGAGAGAUGUAUGAUGAAGUGUUGUA